This is an RNA transcript of Sinocyclocheilus rhinocerous, 643 nucleotides long. RefSeq lists it as uncharacterized. The transcript is spliced from 3 exons. The record is from RefSeq and is a predicted model, not a curated record. NCBI's taxonomy places the organism in Eukaryota, Metazoa, Chordata, Actinopteri, Cypriniformes, Cyprinidae.
UGCAGGACAGUGGAUCCCCAGGAGCAGGGUUGAAGACCUAUGAUAUAGACACUAAAGAAUCCUAUACAGCCAUAUAUCUUUUUUGCUUAGAAAACUGAACUUAAAGCACUGAAAAGAACAACUGAAUACAUGUAAUCCUGACCUGUGUUGCUUUGGAAUUCCAGACGAGCAGGAGUUGGAAGAGGGGCUGCAGUCAGUAGAAGGACGGAGUCAUGUAGCUAAACACAGAACUUCAAGCACAGAAAGAAAGGAGGUGACAGGGAAUUUCACGUGGUAUGAGUUUCUUACCAUUGAAAAUGACGGAGAAGAGGAGGAAAGACCUGAGCGUCUGGAAAAAGGUACCAAAGUCAAGCGGACUCUGAGCUCACUGAGGAACCGCAUGACCGGAUCCUUCAACAAAGACAAAGUAAUCACACACACACACACACACACACACACUGACAUCACUCACACUCGGGCUGUGGGAUAAAAUCAUAUACAUUUCUGCUGAACUUUGCAGCAACUUCUGUGUCUCUGCAACUUCCUCCUUUUCUUGAAUGUAGAAAGACACUAAACUCGCCCAUGCAGACUACUGGGAAAGUUUUGACCUGCUCUUUGAACUAGACAAUGUGCCAAUUGUAUACUGUCUUUUAAAAAAAUAAAA